UAUACUGCUCUUUUUUUUCCCCCCUCCUCCAUCUUAUUGGUGUUUGCAGGGAUAAUAUGUAUAUACCCACUGGUUUCUGAGUCUGUUUGCCAUUCCUUUCUUCUUGAGUGGAAGAUGAGAACUGAAAAGUAAGAAGGCUAGACUCUUGUUUAACAAAUUAAAUGAAGGCAUUUAAUGUCACUUCAUUCCAAAAAUUCUUUUGGGACAGAACAACUAUUUCAUCACUUCCCAGAUAAUUGCUUUCUUCAAGAUUGCCACAGAAGCAAUAGAAAAUAUUAGAACUGUUGUUAGCUUGACCCGAGAAAGAAAAUUUGAGUUGAUGUAUGGAGAACAUUUGAUUGUACCAUACAGAAAUUCUGUGAAGAAGGCACAUAUAUUUGGCUUUACUUUUGCACUUUCACAAGCAAUGAUGUUCUUUACCUAUGCUGGCUGUUUCCGGUUUGGUGCCUAUCUAGUGGCAAAUGGACACAUGGAGUAUAAAAGUGUGUUUUUGUGAGUAUCACAUUUGCAAUAUUUUUCUGUCUAUCCAGAAAAAUCCUUUAUUAUUUAAGAGACA
Long non-coding RNA from Corapipo altera (White-ruffed manakin), 556 nucleotides. RefSeq lists it as uncharacterized. Lineage: Eukaryota; Metazoa; Chordata; Aves; Passeriformes; Pipridae. The record is from RefSeq and is a predicted model, not a curated record. The transcript has 3 exons.